AGAUUUGCAGCUUGUAGCAGAGAGAUAUUAAGAAAUAUAUGAGUAUCUAGGUUAUGUGUUACAGAAUCUUUAUGAUGUGCACGUCCAACAUAUAAUCCGUCUUCAGAAGCCAUGGCUGCAUUUUGGGGAAAACUUAAUGUAUUGUUAAAAUCAAACCAUAAAUGACAUGUAUCAGCCAGCUGUUGUCUGAUAGCAAGUGAUGUAAAUUUGUAUUCUAAAAAAGAUAAUUAUAUUAUACAUUUUGCAUAUUUU
Molecule: long non-coding RNA, 252 nt
Organism: Vespula pensylvanica (western yellowjacket)
Lineage: Eukaryota; Metazoa; Arthropoda; Insecta; Hymenoptera; Vespidae
Exons: 2
Source: RefSeq, a predicted model, not a curated record